UACGGGAGGCAGCAGUGGGGAAUAUUGCACAAUGGGCGAAAGCCUGAUGCAGCUAUGCCGCGUGUAUGAAGAAGGCCUUAGGGUUGUAAAGUACUUUCAUCGGGGAGGAAAAAACAAAACUAAUAAUUUUAUUUCUUGACGUUACCCGAAAAAGAAGCACCGGCUAACUCCGUGCCAGCAGCCGCGGUAAUACGGAGGGUGCUAGCGUUAAUCAGAAUUACUGGGCGUAAAGAGCACGUAGGUGGUUUUUUUAAGUCAGAUGUGAAAUCCCUGGGCUUAACCUAGGAACUGCAUUUUGAAACUGAAAUACUAGAGUAUCGUAGAGGGAGGUAGAAUUCUAGGUGUAGCGGUGAAAUGCGUAGAUAUCUGGAGGAAUACCUGUGGCGAAAGCGGCCUCCUAAACGAAUACUGACACUGAGGUGCGAAAGCGUGGGGAGCAAACAGGGAUUAGAUACCCGU
This 459-nucleotide ribosomal RNA is filed under the name uncultured bacterium. Its description in RNAcentral is "bacterial SSU rRNA". It matches the Rfam family "Bacterial small subunit ribosomal RNA", at positions 340 to 789 of the family's 1533-position model. The record is from RNAcentral.